CUAAGCUACUAAGAGCAAACGGCGGAUGCCUUGGUGUCAAGUGAAGAAGAAAGACGUGGAAAGCUGCGAUAAGCCUCGGUAAGGAGCUAAACAUCCUUUGACCCGGGGAUUUCUGAAUGGGGCAACCCGGCACGGUUAAUACCGUGUCAUCCUUAACUGAAUACAUAGGUUAAGGAGGGUAACGGGGAGAACUGAAACAUCUUAGUACCCCCAGGAAUAGAAAGUAAAAACGAUUCCCUAAGUAGCGGCGAGCGAACGGGGACCAGCCCAAACCGUUAACGUGUCAAGCCCGAAAGCGUUGCGUUAACGGGGUCGCGGGAUGCAGAUCGGAUCCGUUUCGGAGGAUCCAAUAAGUUACAAAAGAUAUCAUUAGCUGAAUCAGCUGGAAAGCUGAACCAUAGCAGGUGACAGUCCUGUAAGCGAAAGUGAUCUCUCUUAUUUUUGCACUCCCAAGUACUGCGGAACACGAGAAAUUCUGUGGGAAUUUGUGUGGACCAUCACAUAAGGCUAAAUACGACUUGGCAACCGAUAGCGUACCAGUACCGUGAGGGAAAGGUGAAAAGUACCCCUGUUAGGGGAGUGAAAUAGUACCUGAAACCGUUUGCUUACAAGCUGUGGGAGCACAUUUAUGUGUGACGCGUGCCUUUGCAUAAUGAGUCAGCGAGUUACUUAAUGCGGCAAGGUUAAGCCGAUAGGUGUAGCCGUAGCGAAAGCGAGUCUGAACAGGGCGCAAGUUGCAUUGAGUAGACCCGAAACCAGGUGAUCUAUCCAUGUCCAGGGUGAAGCGGGAGUAAAAUCUCGUGGAGGCCCGAACCGUCACAGGUUAAAAACUGUUCGGAUGAGGUGUGGAUAGGGGUGAAAGGCCAAACAAACCUGGAGAUAGCUGGUUCUCUCCGAAAUAUAUUUAGGUAUAGCCUCGUAUGUUUCUUUUUGGAGGUAGAGCACUGAAUGGGCUAGGGGUCUCACCAGAUUACCAAACCUAAUCAAACUUCGAAUACCAAAAAGUCAGAAUACGGGAGUCAGCCCGCGGGAGCUAAGUUCCGCGGACGAGAGGGAAACAACCCAGACCGCCAGCUAAGGUCCCCAAAUCUAUGCUAAGUGGAGAAGGAUGUGGGAAUGCCCAGACAACCAGGAGGUUGGCUUAGAAGCAGCCAUCCUUUAAAGAAAGCGUAAUAGCUCACUGGUCGAGUGGAUCUGCGCCGAAAAUGUAUCGGGGCUAAAGCAUAGUACCGAAGCUGCGGAAUGAAAUUUAUUUCAUUGGUAGGAGAGCGUUGUGUCGUCAUAGAAUCGCAACCGUGAGGUUGUGUGGAGAUGUCACAAGUGCCCAUGCUGACAUGAGUAGCGAUAAAGCGGGUGAGAGGCCCGCUCGCCGAAAACCCAAGGUUUCCUGAGUAAAGCUAAUCUUCUCAGGGUUAGUCGAUCCCUAAGGCGAGGCCGAAAGGCGUAGUCGAUGGAAAACAGAUUAAUAUUUCUGUACCACCUUGUUAUCGUUUGAGAAACGGGGGGACGCAGGAGGGCAGGUCAUCCGUCUGUUGGAAUAGGCGGUUCAAGCUUGUAGCUUAAAUCCCAGGCAAAUCCGGGAUUUUUUAAGGCCGAGAAGUGAUGUCGAGGGAUUUAUCCCAUAAAGUGACUGCACCCAUGCUGCCAAGAAAAGCCUCUAUCGAGAUAACAGGUGAUCGUACCGUAAACCGACACAGGUAGGUGGGGAGAGUAUCCCAAGGCGCUUGAGAGAACCCUGGUUAAGGAACUCGGCAAAAUGAUACCGUAACUUCGGGAGAAGGUAUGCCCCUGACCGUUAGUAUUAUACUUUACAAAGCGGAUGGGGGCCGCAGAGAAUUGGUGGUAGCGACUGUUUACUAAAAACAUAGGACUCUGCAAAGUCGCAAGACGAGGUAUAGGGUCUGACGCCUGCCCGGUGCCGGAAGGUUAAGGGGAUUUGUUAGCUUUUAGCGAAGCACUGAACUGAAGCCCCGGUAAACGGCGGCCGUAACUAUAACGGUCCUAAGGUAGCGAAAUUCCUUGUCGGGUAAGUUCCGACCUGCACGAAUGGCGUAACGACUUCCACACUGUCUCAACCAGGGACUCAGCGAAAUUGCAGUGGCGGUGAAGAUACCGUCUACCCGCGAAAAGACGGAAAGACCCCGGCACCUUUACUACAGCUUGACAUUGGAUUUUGGGAUAUGAUGUGCAGGAUAGGUGGGAGACUUUGAAGCAUGCGCGCCAGUGUGU
Molecule: ribosomal RNA, 2229 nt
Filed under: bioreactor metagenome
Description: bacterial LSU rRNA
Rfam family: Bacterial large subunit ribosomal RNA
Source: RNAcentral